Molecule: ribosomal RNA, 301 nt
Filed under: uncultured bacterium
Lineage: Bacteria
Description: partial 16S ribosomal RNA
Rfam family: Bacterial small subunit ribosomal RNA
Source: RNAcentral
CAGCCGCCGCGGGAAUACGAGGGGGGCAAGCGUUGUUCGGAAUUAUUGGGCGUGAAGGGUGCGUAGGCGGUUUGACAAGUCUUAUGUGAAAUCUCUGGGCUCAACCCAGAGUCUGCAUGGGAAACUGUCGGGCUUGAGUAUGGGAGAGGUGAGUGGAAUUUCCGGUGUAGCGGUGAAAUGCGUAGAUAUCGGAAGGAACACCUGUGGCGAAAGCGGCUCACUGGACCAUAACUGACGCUGAGGCACGAAAGCUAGGGGAGCAAACAGGAUUAGAUACCCGCGUAGUCCCUGUCUCUUAUAC